RNAcentral lists this ribosomal RNA (839 nucleotides) under Campylobacter jejuni. RNAcentral's name for it is "bacterial SSU rRNA". It matches the Rfam family "Bacterial small subunit ribosomal RNA", at positions 678 to 1520 of the family's 1533-position model. The record is from RNAcentral. Lineage: Bacteria; Pseudomonadati; Campylobacterota; Epsilonproteobacteria; Campylobacterales; Campylobacteraceae.
GGGGUAAAAUCCGUAGAUAUCACCAAGAAUACCCAUUGCGAAGGCGAUCUGCUGGAACUCAACUGACGCUAAGGCGCGAAAGCGUGGGGAGCAAACAGGAUUAGAUACCCUGGUAGUCCACGCCCUAAACGAUGUACACUAGUUGUUGGGAUGCUAGUCAUCUCAGUAAUGCAGCUAACGCAUUAAGUGUACCGCCUGGGGAGUACGGUCGCAAGAUUAAAACUCAAAGGAAUAGACGGGGACCCGCACAAGCGGUGGAGCAUGUGGUUUAAUUCGAAGAUACGCGAAGAACCUUACCUGGGCUUGAUAUCCUAAGAACCUUAUAGAGAUAUGAGGGUGCUAGCUUGCUAGAACUUAGAGACAGGUGCUGCACGGCUGUCGUCAGCUCGUGUCGUGAGAUGUUGGGUUAAGUCCCGCAACGAGCGCAACCCACGUAUUUAGUUGCUAACGGUUCGGCCGAGCACUCUAAAUAGACUGCCUUCGUAAGGAGGAGGAAGGUGUGGACGACGUCAAGUCAUCAUGGCCCUUAUGCCCAGGGCGACACACGUGCUACAAUGGCAUAUACAAUGAGACGCAAUACCGCGAGGUGGAGCAAAUCUAUAAAAUAUGUCCCAGUUCGGAUUGUUCUCUGCAACUCGAGAGCAUGAAGCCGGAAUCGCUAGUAAUCGUAGAUCAGCCAUGCUACGGUGAAUACGUUCCCGGGUCUUGUACUCACCGCCCGUCACACCAUGGGAGUUGAUUUCACUCGAAGCCGGAAUACUAAACUAGUUACCGUCCACAGUGGAAUCAGCGACUGGGGUGAAGUCGUAACAAGGUAACCGUAGGAGAACCUGCGGUUG